AAAAAAUAUUAUUCAGAUAAACUUUGACUUUUAUAAACAAUGAUGUAAAGUGCAUUUUAGUCUCCCUGGAAAGUUCCAGGUUUGAUAUAUGUGUGAUCUGAACUCUGUUUUACUCACAGAUAAGUUAUAGUACAGUUCUCAGCCAUGCAAGUUGCAAAAAUGUAGUUGUCUGUACCGCUUCAAUGUGUCUCAACACUUAUACAAAGUGAUCACUUUGAAGGUGAGAGGUAAGUUCAUUCUCCAUUCUUAUUCAUUUUUGGGCUCUCUGCUGAAUGUGUUAACAAGUUUGCCAACAAUGUUAAUUAUAAAUGAAGGAUACUUACUUGUAACCAGAGUUCUUCCAGAAGACCCUGUAUAUACCCAUUUAUGGGUAGUGUGCCACCUGGUGAUGCCUAAUGAUAGAACCUUCUCCAAAUAGUGUCCCUAGCGUACACAUGUGCCGCCAUCUCAGCAUCGUCAAAUGUUUUAAGGGUAAUCUAUACGAGGUGGUGGUGUGCCCCCUUCCACCUUGGUUCCUUCCACCACUAACCCGGAGAACCAAGGUAAGAUCUGAGAAAGAGGGGAAGGUUACUUACUUGUACCCAAGUUGUGGUAUGAAUAUGCAGAGUUGUCUUGAAGAGUUGUCUUCAAUUACAAGUAGCCAACCUUCACUUCUUCUUUGAGUGACUUUGCAUAUUCAUACUUAUGAGUAAUUUGGCACGCAGUGCAGAAAUUUCAGGAAGAGGGAACAGAGGCCUAAUCAAAUAAUGAUUGAAGCAUGGCUCUACUAAGUCUGGUAUCUGCUCUUGAAGCAAAAUCCAAAGCAUAAUUUUUGCUAAAAGUACAAUAGACUGACCUCGAAGUAGCAGCUUAGUAGAUUUCUCCAAUAGGAACAUGUUUAAGGCAUGUUAAGAGAUGUUACCAUUGCUCUAGUAGAAUGAUACUUCCCAAUAGCAGGCACAGGAACUGCCACUAAUGUAUAACAUUCAGUUAUAUAUUGUUUAACUGUUCCGGAUAUAGUCUGAAUAGAUACACUAUUACCCGUAUGAUUCUUAGCGUAAGAGACAAAUAACCUAGAUGACUUUCUAAAACUCUUUGUUCUAUUUAAAUAAUGUGCCGGAAUCCUUCUAGCAUCUAAGGUAUGUAACUCCAAUUCCCUUUCAUUAGCAUGUGGUUUAAGGGGGAAAAAUUAAUAGUUUGAUGGGUAAUUCAGAUGCUAUUUUUGUAGAAACUUAGGGUCAGUUCUAAGAACCACCUUGUCCGUAUGAAAAAUAGUAAAUGAUGCAACUGCCAUCAGAGCAGACUUUUUGAUGCCCUAGAUCUGUCAGUAGGGAGAUUGUGGAGUUGAUAUGAAGUAGCAGGCCCUCACAUGAAGAAGACUUCAGCAGCCAGUUGUCCAAAUAUAGGUAAACAAACAUACCCUGCUUUCUUUAAUGCACUGCUACUACAGAGAGCCACUUUGUAAAGACUCUUGGUGCUGUAGAAAGGCCAAACAGCAGGACCUUGUACUGGAAAUGUUGCUGGGCCAUAACAAAACAAAGGCUCAGCUGGAUUGAAACAUUAAAAACCAGAACUUCCAAAUGUACUUGUUCAGUUUUCUGAGAUCUAAAAUUGAAGAGAAUCCCACAUCUUUUCUUGUACCAGGAAGUAUCUUGAAUAAAACCCAGACACCAAAGAUGUUUGGGUAUCUCUUUGACAACACCUAAUAGAAGCAGUUUUUGAACCUGUGAUAGAAGAAUAGCCUCAUGAGACAGUUCUCUGUAAAGGGAAGAGUAGGGAGAAUUGAAAGAGGGUAGUUUUUUUUAUUUAUAUGGCAUACCUCUUCUCAGUGAUUUCUAGAACUCACUUGUCUGAUGUAAUAAGCCUCCAGUUGUUGAUGAAAAUGGCUAGCCUGUCUCCAAAUAAAGGAAGGGAGGGAUUGUCACUUAUUGGUUCCUGACUCUCGCUCCUCACAUCAAAUCUCAGGCCUGGUGUUCAAGGAAGAUAAAGAGGAGGGAGCAGAUUGUUUUGUCUCUGGUGUGUAUCUAAAAUACUUCUUGUGCUUGCUCUGAGAUGAAAACAAAGCUUACUGAUGCGGACAUCUGUGAUUUGAGGAAAAAUAAGCAAAUAACUGAGGUAAAAUUGUCUCUGAUAAUGGAAACAAGGAGUGUAUGGUUUCUUUCUGAACCAGGGAUAGUGACCCAGUGAACAAGCAGUGGAUUUGCUAUCUGUUAAUUUUUCCAAAAAUUCAUCAGUCUUAUUGCCUCUCAAAAGGAAGAGGGGUAUUUAAUUUGGUAUCCACAGCCAAUGAAGAGGCACAAAGCCAAAAAGGUCUCCUUAAGGUGCCAGUGCUCUAGUGGAAAAGUGAGAAGCAUCAGCUGAAGCCCUGAGAGCAUGCUUCACAUUUUGUCCCUUCAUCAAAAUAACAUUUGCCAGCCUUCUCUUAUUGUCUGGCAAUGCCUGAACAAACACAGAUGCCAUGACCACCUGGUAAUUAGACAUUCUAAUACCAAGAGAAGAGGGGGGGAAAAACUUUCUUCCCCUCUCUGUAAAGAGUCUAAUGGGCCUAAUUGGACAUAAACUUAUUACUAGCAGAGCCACCACAGUAAAUUAGGCAGAGGGUGAGUGUGACAGUAAGAAAACCCCAAGUCCUGGGGUGUAUCUCAUACAAUUAUCUGCUUUUUCAGAAAUACAUUGACUGGAAGCAGGGGUUGCCCAAACAGUCCUAGUCGGCUGCAAGAGAGCAUCCACUAUCGGCAACCACAUCCUGUUCCAGAAGGCAGUCUCAAGAAUGUCCAAUACUGGGUGGAAGGUUUUCUCCAUAGCCACAGAAGAAAACGUGUCAGGCACAACUAUCAGAGCUGAAGAUAGAUCUAGUGGAACCAGAUCCAAGGGUUGCUCAGCUACUGGAUCCUUUUCUGCUGAAACAUCACCUCUCCAUCCAUAAAGAGGAUGACUCAAAACGUUCUGUGGUGGAACCCAACCAGGAUUGCCAGUACCUCCAGUAGCUGGGAUGUGGAAAGAUGCCCAUAGGAGGCAGAACAACAUUGGAGUGGGGAAUCAGGUCUCUUAAUUCUUCAUCUGCCUCCUCCACCUGAUGAUCUAACCUCAGAUCUGCCAUGGACCUCACAGAAGACAGCAACAGAACUGGAGGGUGAAGAGCAAUAGAAGAUGAAGAGGAAGCAGAACACUGAACCGAACAAGUCAUCUGCCUCUCACUUAGACACGAGGAAUGCUCAGAUGCAGGAUUGUUCACUUCAGCCACCACAGUGAGACCUCUUUGGAUUAAAGGAUGAUUCCAGAACAGCAGCGAGGAAAUAGCUGGUCUCACAGACCUACAGAGUACCAGAUCCAGCAAAAUACUCAGUUCCACACCUCUGGUCUUUGAAGUUGAAAGUGGAACCAACUUGGGCUUCAGAGAUGGAACUGCAGAGGCCAUGUCAGAAUCAGAUGGAUCCAUCAGCUAGAGCCCUGAAAUUGACCAGAAAGCCAGUUCCCCACCUGGGCUUCUGCCAGGUCUUCACUCCAAGCUUUCUGCCACCCAGACUCCUGGCUUCAGCUGCUCCCUGGGUCUCAGCUCCCCGCAAGGAGCACAGCAGCCGCCUGGACUCCAGGCAGGAUCUUCCUGCUGGAGGCGAGAAGCCCCAGGGGGCAGCUGGGCUCCCAGUGGGGAGUGGUGGGGAACUGAGCGCCCUGGCCUUCAGCCCUCCACAGUGCACCUCUUUAGUCGGUGGAAGUGCUCAUCGUAAGGAUGUGCAACACUGACCAAAGGAGGGUAGUGUGGACAUCAGACACCAUUGUAAGUUGACUUAACGUAGGUUGACUUAAGAUUGAAGUGUAGACAUGCCCUUAAUGGCAGAACUGAGUCCUUUUAAUGUAAUGUCACAAUUUACAGAUGAACUGACUAUAGAAAACUGUGAACUAUCAAAAAUAUGUAAUUAAUUAGCAUGGAGGGCCAGAGAGAAAUCGGGGGGGGGGGGGGAAAUGG
Caretta caretta (loggerhead turtle) is the source of this 3946-nucleotide long non-coding RNA. RefSeq lists it as uncharacterized. Lineage: Eukaryota; Metazoa; Chordata; Testudines; Cheloniidae. The record is from RefSeq and is a predicted model, not a curated record.